UACGUAGGGUGCAAGCGUUAAUCGGAAUUACUGGGCGUAAAGCGUGCGCAGGCGGUUUGUAAGUCUGUCGUGAAAGCCCCGGGCUCAACCUGGGAAUUGCGAUGGAGACUGCAAGGCUUGAAUCUGGCAGAGGGGGGUAGAAUUCCACGUGUAGCAGGUGAAAUGCGUAGAGAUGUGGAGGAACACCGAUGGCGAAGGCAGCCCCCUGGGUCAAGAUUGACGCUCGAUGCACGAAAGCGUGGGGAACAAACAGG
This 254-nucleotide ribosomal RNA is filed under the name uncultured bacterium. RNAcentral's name for it is "partial 16S ribosomal RNA". It matches the Rfam family "Bacterial small subunit ribosomal RNA", at positions 524 to 776 of the family's 1533-position model. The record is from RNAcentral.